AACGAACGCUGGCGGCAUGCCUAACACAUGCAAGUCGAACGAGACCUUCGGGUCUAGUGGCGCACGGGUGCGUAACGCGUGGGAACCUGCCCUUAGGUUCGGAAUAACUCCCCGAAAGGGGUGCUAAUACCGGAUAAUGUCUUCGGCCCAAAGAUUUAUCGCCUUUGGAUGUGCCCGCGUUGGAUUAGCUAGUUGGUAGGGUAAAAGCCUACCAAGGCGACGAUCCAUAGCUGGUCUGAGAGGAUGAUCAGCCACACUGGGACUGAGACACGGCCCAGACUCCUACGGGAGGCAGCAGUGGGGAAUAUUGGACAAUGGGCGAAAGCCUGAUCCAGCAAUGCCGCGUGAGUGAUGAAGGCCUUAGGGUUGUAAAGCUCUUUUACCCGGGAUGAUAAUGACAGUACCGGGAGAAUAAGCUCCGGCUAACUCCGUG
This 433-nucleotide ribosomal RNA is filed under the name uncultured bacterium. RNAcentral describes it as "partial 16S ribosomal RNA". It matches the Rfam family "Bacterial small subunit ribosomal RNA", at positions 29 to 507 of the family's 1533-position model. The record is from RNAcentral.